RNAcentral lists this ribosomal RNA (518 nucleotides) under uncultured Actinomycetes bacterium. Its description in RNAcentral is "bacterial SSU rRNA". It matches the Rfam family "Bacterial small subunit ribosomal RNA", at positions 38 to 565 of the family's 1533-position model. Lineage: Bacteria; Bacillati; Actinomycetota; Actinomycetes. The record is from RNAcentral.
GGCGGCGUGCCUAACACAUGCAAGUCGAACGAGGUCCAUCUGGUAGCAAUACCAGUGAAGAUCAAGUGGCGAACGGGUGAGUAGCACGUGAGCAACCUGCCCCGAAGACCGGGACAACACCGGGAAACCGGUGCUAAUACCGGAUACCCCCACCGAGUCGCAUGGCUUGGUGAGGAAAUGGAUUCCGCUUCGGGAGGGGCUCGCGGCCUAUCAGCUUGUUGGUGAGGUAACGGCUCACCAAGGCUUCGACGGGUAGCUGGUCUGAGAGGACGAUCAGCCACACUGGGACUGAGACACGGCCCAGACUUCUACGGGAGGCAGCAGUGGGGAAUCUUGCACAAUGGGCGAAAGCCUGAUGCAGCAACGCCGCGUGAGGGACGAAGGCUUUCUGAGUUGUAAACCUCUUUCAGCAGGGACGAUUGUGACGGUACCUGCAGAAGAAGCCCCGGCCAACUACGUGCCAGCAGCCGCGGUAAUACGUAGGGGGCAAGCGUUGUCCGGAUUUAUUGGGCGUAAAG